GGCAAAACAUCUUCAAGGAUUGCAGUUCCUCUUGGUCAGAAGGAUGGAGCCAUAAAAAAUGAUUCGAUAGUGUUUUCGUUCGAGACCCCCAUGUGGAAGCACUACGUGAUCAGAGUCACAAGUGUUGUUGCUAGUUGUACCCUGUCGUGGUUAAUUGUUAAAACUACUGCCGCUCGCAUUGAAGAUGACCUCUCCAUUCUCAAGAAAUGAGUUAAUUUGACUGUAUCAGCAUAUCUAAGUAUCUAAGUAACAAGGUAGUAUCGUGUUGAAGCACUCUAUUUAUGGUAUGUUUUGUGCGAGUAUACUCUCAGACAAUUUGUGACCAAUGUGCUGUGUUCUGAUGUUACCUUUGUAGAAAGGUGGUAGAAACUAUGGGACUAUAAUGUACUAUGUUGAAUCAGUUGAAUGUAUUGAAACUUUAGAAGCGACGGUCGCCACUUGGGCA
This is a long non-coding RNA of Setaria italica (foxtail millet), 445 nucleotides long. RefSeq lists it as uncharacterized. Lineage: Eukaryota; Viridiplantae; Streptophyta; Magnoliopsida; Poales; Poaceae. The record is from RefSeq and is a predicted model, not a curated record. The transcript has 2 exons.